CCUACGGGAGGCAGCAGUGAGGAAUAUUGGUCAAUGGCCGGAAGGCUGAACCAGCCAAGUCGCGUGAAGGAUGACGGUGCUAAGCAUUGUAAACCUCUUUUGUCAGGGGACAAAGUGAGGCUCGAGAGGCUGUUUGAGGGUACUUGAAGAAAAAGCAUCGGCUAACUCCGUGCCAGCAGCCGCGGUAAUACGGAGGAUGCGAGCGUUAUCCGGAUUUAUUGGGUUUAAAGGGUGCGUAAGCGGACUGUUAAGUCAGCGGUAAAAGUUCGGGGCUCAACCCCGGCGUGCCGUUGAAACUGGCUGUCUUGAGUUGUCGAGAGGUAUGCGGAAUGCGCGGUGUAGCGGUGAAAUGCUUAGAUAUUACGCAGAACUCCGAUUGCGAAGGCAGCAUACCGGC
Molecule: ribosomal RNA, 397 nt
Filed under: uncultured bacterium
Lineage: Bacteria
Description: partial 16S ribosomal RNA
Rfam family: Bacterial small subunit ribosomal RNA
Source: RNAcentral